This is a long non-coding RNA of Canis lupus familiaris (dog), 910 nucleotides long. RefSeq lists it as uncharacterized. NCBI's taxonomy places the organism in Eukaryota, Metazoa, Chordata, Mammalia, Carnivora, Canidae. The transcript has 3 exons. The record is from RefSeq and is a predicted model, not a curated record.
GGCAGGCAGAGGGGAGCUAAGGAGGGGAAGAGGGGAGAGGUGGUUAGUCCUCAGAGCCAGGAGAGAGGCUCCUUAAGGACCUCAGCCAGCAGGGCCAGCCCAGGCCUGCUCCGACCUCUGGUCUCCAGCCAGGCCUGCAUCUCAGACUCUGUGUUACCAAGCUAGAGGGGAUCUGCAAGUGUGCUCCCAAGGGCUCCCAGGCCCAGCUGCAGUUCGCGCCACCAGCACCGCCGAGCCUGUUUCCCUCCCUCGCCUGGCCUCAGCAGUGAGUCCGGCCACCACAGACGCUGUUGAAAAGUCCCAACUGUCCCUGGAGGCCCGAUUCAAGUUCCUUCCAUUGCUGAAAGGAUCCAAAGGUUUCCACCUGGCUCAAGUGUGAGAGGGCGCCUCAUCACACUCCCUGGGGACCCUCAGAAUUCCCUCUACCCCCGGAUGCCUCUCAGUCCUAGCAUGUGGGGCCUGACCCGGUCCCUGGAGAGGAGUCAUAUCCCACACAGCCCUCCACUGCUCCUACAAACAGAUUUCUAGAAGGCCUCCCUGCACAGAUGCGUCUUGGGCUGAAGCUGGGACCCUGCUACACAACCAUCAGCUCAGCCCGGCUCGCAACCGACUCUACCCGCCUGGGACUCAUACCCUUCCAUCUGAUCCUUCCCCAAAAGGGCUCCAGUCCUUGAUCCUUCAGCUUUCAAGACGUUUGAGAUUCGUCCCCCAGCUCAAACAUGGCCCGUGUGGAAACCCACAUGACAGAUCCCCCUCCAUCCCUCUCUGUCCAUGUUCCUGCCUCUCCCGUGUAUUAUUUCCUUCUACACGUCGAGGCUCCUAGAGACAAUGCAUCUGUUCCCAUGCUGGGUGUAGAGCAAGUGCAGAACACUAGCUCUGAGGUUGGCUGACUCCAUGAAUAAAAUGGGAG